UAGGUAGCGCCUCGUGAAUUCAUCUCCGGGGGUAGAGCACUGUUUCGGCUAGGGGGCCAUCCCGGCUUACCAACCCGAUGCAAACUGCGAAUACCGGAGAAUGUUAUCACGGGAGACACACGGCGGGUGCUAACGUCCGUCGUGAAGAGGGAAACAACCCAGACCGCCAGCUAAGGUCCCAAAGUCAUGGUUAAGUGGGAAACGAUGUGGGAAGGCCCAGACAGCCAGGAUGUUGGCUUAGAAGCAGCCAUCAUUUAAAGAAAGCGUAAUAGCUCACUGGUCGAGUCGGCCUGCGCGGAAGAUGUAACGGGGCUAAACCAUGCACCGAAGCUGCGGCAGCGACACUGUGUGUUGUUGGGUAGGGGAGCGUUCUGUAAGCCUGUGAAGGUGUGUCGUGAGGCAUGCUGGAGGUAUCAGAAGUGCGAAUGCUGACAUAAGUAACGAUAAAGCGGGUGAAAAGCCCGCUCGCCGGAAGACCAAGGGUUCCUGUCCAACGUUAAUCGGGGCAGGGUGAGUCGACCCCUAAGGCGAGGCCGAAAGGCGUAGUCGAUGGGAAACGGGUUAAUAUUCCCGUACUUGGUGUUACUGCGAAGGGGGGACGGAGAAGGCUAUGUUGGCCGGGCGACGGUUGUCCCGGUUUAAGCGUGUAGGUGUGUGUUCCAGGUAAAUCCGGUUCACUUUAACACUGAGGCGUGACGACGAGGCACUACGGUGCUGAAGCAACAAAUGCCCUGCUUCCAGGAAAAGCCUCUAAGCAUCAGGUAACAUCAAAUCGUACCCCAAACCGACACAGGUGGUCAGGUAGAGAAUACCAAGGCGCUUGAGAGAACUCGGGUGAAGGAACUAGGCAAAAUGGUGCCGUAACUUCGGGAGAAGGCACGCUGACACGUAGGUGAAGUGAUUUACUCAUGGAGCUGAAGUCAGUCGAAGAUACCAGCUGGCUGCAACUGUUUAUUAAAAACACAGCACUGUGCAAACACGAAAGUGGACGUAUACGGUGUGACGCCUGCCCGGUGCCGGAAGGUUAAUUGAUGGGGUCAGCGCAAGCGAAGCUCCUGAUCGAAGCCCCGGUAAACGGCGGCCGUAACUAUAACGGUCCUAAGGUAGCGAAAUUCCUUGUCGGGUAAGUUCCGACCUGCACGAAUGGCGUAAUGAUGGCCAGGCUGUCUCCACCCGAGACUCAGUGAAAUUGAACUCGCUGUGAAGAUGCAGUGUACCCGCGGCAAGACGGAAAGACCCCGUGAACCUUUACUAUAGCUUGACACUGAACAUUGAGCCUUGAUGUGUAGGAUAGGUGGGAGGCUUUGAAGUGUGGACGCCAGUCUGCAUGGAGCCGACCUUGAAAUACCACCCUUUAAUGUUUGAUGUUCUAACGUGGACCCGUUACCCGGGUUGCGGACAGUGUCUGGUGGGUAGUUUGACUGGGGCGGUCUCCUCCUAAAGAGUAACGGAGGAGCACGAAGGUUGGCUAAUCCUGGUCGGACAUCAGGAGGUUAGUGCAAUGGCAUAAGCCAGCUUGACUGCGAGCGUGACGGCGCGAGCAGGUGCGAAAGCAGGUCAUAGUGAUCCGGUGGUUCUGAAUGGAAGGGCCAUCGCUCAACGGAUAAAAGGUACUCCGGGGAUAACAGGCUGAUACCGCCCAAGAGUUCAUAUCGACGGCGGUGUUUGGCACCUCGAUGUCGGCUCAUCACAUCCUGGGGCUGAAGUAGGUCCCAAGGGUAUGGCUGUUCGCCAUUUAAAGUGGUACGCGAGCUGGGUUUAGAACGUCGUGAGACAGUUCGGUCCCUAUCUGCCGUGGGCGCUGGAGAACUGAGGGGGGCUGCUCCUAGUACGAGAGGACCGGAGUGGACGCAUCACUGGUGUUCGGGUUGUCAUGCCAAUGGCACUGCCCGGUAGCUAAAUGCGGAAGAGAUAAGUGCUGAAAGCAUCUAAGCACGAAACUUGCCCCGA
This 1950-nucleotide ribosomal RNA is filed under the name Salmonella enterica. Its description in RNAcentral is "partial 23S ribosomal RNA". It matches the Rfam family "Bacterial large subunit ribosomal RNA", at positions 871 to 2802 of the family's 2925-position model. The record is from RNAcentral. Lineage: Bacteria; Pseudomonadati; Pseudomonadota; Gammaproteobacteria; Enterobacterales; Enterobacteriaceae.